AUACUGUCUCCUUUCUCCAAUCAGUGAAACUGAUCUCCCCGUGAAGAAGCGGGGAUAAAACUAUUAGACGAGAAGACCCCAUGGAGCUUUAAGCCCAAUAACACCUCUUAUGAAAUAAUUCUACAUAACAUACGAACCCUGUUUAUUGGCUUUAGGUUGGGGUGACCGCGGAGUAUAAUUUAACCUCCACGACGAAAGGCAUAAAACCCUUAUCCAAGAGCAACUGCUCUAAGAAUCACUAAAUUGACGUACAAUGAUCCGAUUUUCGAUCAACGAACCAAGUUACCCUGGGGAUAACAGCGCAAUCCAUUUUUAGAGCCCCUAUCGACAAAUGGGUUUACGACCUCGAUGUUGGAUCAGGGUAUCCUAGUGGUGCAGCCGCUACUAAAGGUUCGUUUGUUCAACGAUUAAAACCCUACGUGAUCUG
This 427-nucleotide ribosomal RNA is filed under the name Amietia sp. 4 TRL-2016. Its description in RNAcentral is "partial 16S ribosomal RNA". It matches the Rfam family "Bacterial large subunit ribosomal RNA", at positions 2013 to 2607 of the family's 2925-position model. Lineage: Eukaryota; Metazoa; Chordata; Amphibia; Anura; Pyxicephalidae. The record is from RNAcentral.